GCCCAUUUGGCUUAGUGUAUAGAGCAUUGGCCUGCAGACCCAAGGGUCCUGGGUUUGAUUCCGGUCAAGGGCA
RNAcentral lists this transfer RNA (73 nucleotides) under Myotis brandtii (Brandt's bat). It matches the Rfam family "tRNA". From Rfam's summary of the family: Transfer RNA (tRNA) molecules are approximately 80 nucleotides in length. The record is from Rfam by way of RNAcentral. Lineage: Eukaryota; Metazoa; Chordata; Mammalia; Chiroptera; Vespertilionidae.